CCUACGGGAGGCUGCAGUGAGGAAUAUUUGUCAAUGGACGAGAGUCUGAACCAGCCAAGUAGCGUGAAGGAUGACUGCCCUAUGGGUUGUAAACUUCUUUUAUAUGGGAAUAAAAUGUUCCACGUGUGGGAUUUUGUAUGUACCAUAUGAAUAAGGAUCGGCUAACUCCGUGCCAGCAGCCGCGGUAAUACGGAGGAUCCGAGCGUUAUCCGGAUUUAUUGGGUUUAAAGGGAGCGUAGGUGGAUUGUUAAGUCAGUUGUGAAAGUUUGCGGCUCAACCGUAAAAUUGCAGUUGAAACUGGCAGUCUUGAGUACAGUAGAGGUGGGCGGAAUUCGUGGUGUAGCGGUGAAAUGCUUAGAUAUCACGAAGAACUCCGAUUGCGAAGGCAGUUCACUGGACUGCAACUGACACUGAGGCUCGAAAGUGUGGGUAUCAAACAGGAUUAGAUACCCUUGUAGUC
Molecule: ribosomal RNA, 460 nt
Filed under: uncultured bacterium
Lineage: Bacteria
Description: partial 16S ribosomal RNA
Rfam family: Bacterial small subunit ribosomal RNA
Source: RNAcentral